RNAcentral lists this non-coding RNA (59 nucleotides) under unclassified sequences. RNAcentral describes it as "GP20-b RNA". It matches the Rfam family "GP20-b RNA". The record is from RNAcentral.
GGCUAUCUGCAAGCCUAAAAGUGCAGGCGGGAGGUCAUGGCGACGACCUAAAAAGCCUA